CCUACGGGGGGCUGCAGUGGGGAAUAUUGGACAAUGGGGGCAACCCUGAUCCAGCCACGCCGCGUGAGUGAUGAAGGCCUUCGGGUCGUAAAGCUCUGUGGGGAGGGACGAACGUCCCGUUGAAGAAACGGGGGUGACGGUACCUCCUUAGCAAGCACCGGCUAACUUCGUGCCAGCAGCCGCGGUAAUACGAAGGGUGCAAACGUUGCUCGGAAUCAUUGGGCGUAAAGCGCACGUAGGCGGCGCAACAAGUCGGACGUGAAAUCCCUCGGCUC
Molecule: ribosomal RNA, 275 nt
Filed under: uncultured Kofleria sp.
Lineage: Bacteria; Pseudomonadati; Myxococcota; Haliangiales; Kofleriaceae
Description: partial 16S ribosomal RNA
Rfam family: Bacterial small subunit ribosomal RNA
Source: RNAcentral